Molecule: ribosomal RNA, 465 nt
Filed under: uncultured bacterium
Lineage: Bacteria
Description: partial 16S ribosomal RNA
Rfam family: Bacterial small subunit ribosomal RNA
Source: RNAcentral
CCUACGGGAGGCAGCAGUGGGGAAUAUUGCGCAAUGGGCGAAAGCCUGACGCAGCGACGCCGCGUGAGGGAUGAAGGUCUUCGGAUCGUAAACCUCUGUCAGCAGGGAAGAACGGUCCCUGUGCUAAUCAGCAGUGAAUUGACGGUACCUGCAAAGGAAGCACCGACUAACUCCGUGCCAGCAGCCGCGGUAAUACGGAGGGUGCGAGCGUUAAUCGGAAUUACUGGGCGUAAAGGGCUCGUAGGCGGUAGGGCAAGUCAAGGGUGAAAUCCCCGGGCUCAACGCGGGAACUGCCUUUGAAACUGGCAAGCUGGAGUGUGUGAGAGGCUAGUGGAAUUCCUGGUGUAGGAGUGAAAUCCGUAGAUAUCUGGAGGAACAUCAGUGGCGAAGGCGACUAGCUGGAACAUGACUGACGCUGAGGAGCGAAAGCGUGGGUAGCAAACAGGAUUAGAUACCCGUGUAGUC